Molecule: ribosomal RNA, 253 nt
Filed under: uncultured bacterium
Lineage: Bacteria
Description: partial 16S ribosomal RNA
Rfam family: Bacterial small subunit ribosomal RNA
Source: RNAcentral
UACGUAGGAGGCGAGCGUUGUCCGGAAUCACUGGGCGUAAAGCGCGUGUAGGCGGGGGGGCAAGUCUGCUGUGAAAGCGCCUGGCUUAACCGGGCGAGGUCGGCGGAAACUGCUUCCCUGGAGGGCGGUAGAGGGGGGUGGAAUUCCCGGUGUAGUGGUGAAAUGCGUAGAGAUCGGGAGGAACACCUGUGGCGAAGGCGGCCCCCUGGGCCGUACCUGACGCUGAGACGCGAAGGCGUGGGGAGCGAGCGGG